Molecule: ribosomal RNA, 119 nt
Filed under: Pteropus alecto (black flying fox)
Lineage: Eukaryota; Metazoa; Chordata; Mammalia; Chiroptera; Pteropodidae
Source: RNAcentral
GUCUACAGCUACACUACCCUGAACAAGCCUGAUCUUGUCUGAUCUCGGAAGCUAAGCAGGAUCAGGCCUGGUUAGUACUUGAAUGGGAAACCACUUAGGAAGACCAGGUGCUAUAGGCA